This 511-nucleotide ribosomal RNA is filed under the name uncultured archaeon. RNAcentral describes it as "bacterial SSU rRNA". It matches the Rfam family "Archaeal small subunit ribosomal RNA", at positions 341 to 856 of the family's 1478-position model. The record is from RNAcentral.
GCGAAAACUUUGCAAUGCGGGAAACCGUGACAAGGGAACUCUGAGUGCCCGUAAAAUCGGGCUGUCCAUUGGUGUAAAAAACCAGUGAAGAAAGGGCCGGGCAAGACCGGUGCCAGCCGCCGCGGUAAUACCGGCGGCUCGAGUGGUGGCCACUAUUACUGGGCUUAAAGCGUUCGUAGCUGGUUUGUUAAGUCUCUGGGGAAAUCUUCCGGCUUAACCGGAAGGCGUCUCAGGGAUACUGGCAGACUAGGGACCGGGAGAGGUGAGAGGUACUCCAGGGGUAGGAGUGAAAUCCUGUAAUCCUUGGGGGACCACCUGUGGCGAAGGCGUCUCACCAGAACGGCUCCGACAGUGAGGGACGAAAGCUGGGGGAGCAAACCGGAUUAGAUACCCGGGUAGUCCCAGCUGUAAACGAUGCGCGUUAGGUGUAUCGGUGACCACGAGUCACCGAGGUGCCGAAGAGAAAUCGUGAAACGUGCCGCCUGGGAAGUACGGUCGCAAGGCUGAAACU